UGGGGAAUAUUGCACAAUGGGCGCAAGCCUGAUGCAGCAACGCCGCGUGAACGAUGAAGGUCUUCGGAUCGUAAAGUUCUGUUGCAGGGGAAGAUAAUGACGGUACCCUGUGAGGAAGCCCCGGCUAUCUACGUGCCAGCAGCCGCGGUAAUACGUAGGGGGCUAGCGUUAUCCGGAUUUACUGGGCGUAAAGGGUGCGUAGGUGGUCUUUCAAGUCGGUGGUUAAAGGCUACGGCUCAACCGUAGUUAGCCUCCGAAACUGGAAGACUUGAGUGCAGGAGAGGAAAGUGGAAUUCCCAGUGUAGCGGUGAAAUGCGUAGAUAUUGGGAGGAACACCAGUAGCGAAGGCGGCUUUCUGGACUGCAACUGACACUGAGGCACGAAAGCGUGGGUAGCAAACAGG
Molecule: ribosomal RNA, 403 nt
Filed under: Verrucomicrobiota bacterium
Lineage: Bacteria; Pseudomonadati; Verrucomicrobiota
Description: Verrucomicrobia bacterium partial 16S ribosomal RNA
Rfam family: Bacterial small subunit ribosomal RNA
Source: RNAcentral